GAGAGAGAAACAGAGCUAACGUUUCGAGUCCAUAUGACUUCUUCAGAGCUAAAGAGAAUUAUUGAAAGAUCAACUGGGCUUCAAUCUUUGAAUGGGUUUAUCCUUACAACACUUUGGAUAUAAAUUGAGAGAGGGGAAUGUGCAACGAGACCUGGGUGUCCUCAUACACCAGUCGCUGAAGUUUUAAAAUGGACUUUUGCUGUAUCACAAGAUGGCUGCUACGGGCCACAUGACUCAAGAUUGGCCAUAUGUUCUGGAAACUUCCAACAGAAAUUACAAGAACAAGAGAGUUCUACUCUCAUCCUUGUGGAAUCUCACAUCCCAUGGGCCACAUUAUAAUCAUGAAACUAGACGACUAACAGACGACCUGAUUCCCCCAGCCGGGACGAUGACAAAGACAGAGACAUUGAAACUAGUUUUACCUGAAGAGGUGUUAACAGCCAAUGUUUCGCUCCUAAGGGAAACAAUGGAUUUUGGCCAGAAACUUGUGAGGCUGCAAUUAACUCAUCAAUGGGCCACAUCACAUGGCCCAUGCUUCUAGCCCUUUGGACUGUUUCAGUAUUACAUUUCUAGCCUCACAGCUCAGUCUGCUGAUUUAUCACCAACCGGAAAGAACUCUAACAGAUCUCCCAGCUGACCAAGCAGUCACCACCAUUUCUCAAUUCCUCAAAGCCUGUUGAUUUUUAAAAAAUCUCUGAUCAUCACCUGCCAAACGGUCGGAGCACAGAAAUCCCAUCGUACUGCAUUGUUAUUCACUUCAAGGACUUUCAUGCUGCCGUCUCCAACCAGGGACUCAUUAGAACUGAACUGCACCACAAAGGAAACACCCUCUGGACUUUAGUUUCCUGGGGGAGAAUUUUCUCCCCAUCGGACCGGCCGGCUGGGAGCCGAUUGCCACCCACGAUUGGCUCUGCACCGCCAUUUUGUGUGGGCAUGUUUCAUAAAAAAUGCGAAGGCCGCUUGGGCUCAACCAAAGGUUGGACGGACAGCUUUCUCAAUUGUCUUAAUUGUUUGAUUAAUGGCCUUAACAGGCCUUUGACAGUUCGGCGGGCACACAGCCAACUCUGGUGUGCGCCCACCAAACAGAAGAUCAGAAUGACACACAGUGACAUAGGGACGCAUGCCCGAUGUCACCACACGUCAUUUUAAGUGCCCCGCAUGCCAAACAGAAAAUUCUGCCCCUGGAUUCUGGAAAUCACAUGAACUGAUAUUUAUGUCUGUGAUUCUUUUGCUGUUGUUAUCCAUAGUUGUAAAGACUCCUUUUCUUUCCCCCUUACUAUAUAUGUCUGUGUGUAUAUGUGCGAAGU
Carcharodon carcharias (great white shark) is the source of this 1307-nucleotide long non-coding RNA. RefSeq lists it as uncharacterized. The record is from RefSeq and is a predicted model, not a curated record. The transcript has 4 exons. Lineage: Eukaryota; Metazoa; Chordata; Chondrichthyes; Lamniformes; Lamnidae.